CGCUAAAUUAAAGCAGAAUCGCCGUAGCAUCAUCCUGUUUGUCGGAGGAUGGCGCGGUUAAAGCCAAUAGACAAACUACGCAUGUAGAUCCGGUGGUCUAGGUACUGCGGACGCGGGUUCAAUUCCCGCCGCCUCCACCA
RNAcentral lists this transfer-messenger RNA (140 nucleotides) under mine drainage metagenome. RNAcentral's name for it is "transfer-messenger RNA Acidi_ferri_SS3". It matches the Rfam family "transfer-messenger RNA", at positions 231 to 374 of the family's 374-position model. From Rfam's summary of the family: Bacterial tmRNA, also known as 10Sa RNA or SsrA, is named for its dual tRNA and mRNA-like properties. Its role is to liberate the mRNA from a stalled ribosome. The record is from RNAcentral.